UCUUACUAAGGGCAAAUUUUACGAAAGUAAAAGACGCAAAGCCACGGGCCUAAAACAAGUUAUUUGUCAUGGCAGCCGGGCCGCCAAG
Regulatory RNA element from Bacillus infantis NRRL B-14911, 88 nucleotides. It matches the Rfam family "c-di-GMP-I riboswitch aptamer". From Rfam's summary of the family: GEMM was predicted in a large-scale screen for bacterial structured RNA regulatory elements. Genes associated with GEMM are involved in a diverse array of functions, including chemotaxis regulation, signal transduction, secretion and chitin. The record is from Rfam. Lineage: Bacteria; Bacillati; Bacillota; Bacilli; Caryophanales; Bacillaceae.